AAAAUCGAUCUCCGAUUUCUCUGCAAUUUUCCCUUUAAUUCUUCGAAUCAACGCUCGAUUCGUUCAAUUCACGGUCUCCUCUUUUGAUCGACACCUCUUUCGAUUGUGGCCGUUGAUUUUGCACUUUUCUAGGGUUAGGGUUUCGAGUCUUGUUCUCGUCGGUCCUCUAAUCUCUUGAUUCCUUAUAGUUUUUCGAUAUCCUCUGUGUAUGCCUUAAUUUCCCCAUCAAUUCUCGGUAUAUUAUUGUAGAUUGUUUCGUUUGUCUUUGAUCUUUAGGG
RNAcentral lists this unclassified non-coding RNA (278 nucleotides) under Hevea brasiliensis (rubber tree). Lineage: Eukaryota; Viridiplantae; Streptophyta; Magnoliopsida; Malpighiales; Euphorbiaceae. The record is from RNAcentral.